GCCGGGCAUGGUGGCUCAUGCCUGUAAUCCCAGCACUUUGGGAGGCUGAGGCGGGUGGAUCACCUGAGGUCAGGAGUUCGAGGCCAGCCUGGCCAACAUGGUGAAAUCCUGUCUCUG
RNAcentral lists this non-coding RNA (117 nucleotides) under Chlorocebus sabaeus (green monkey). The record is from Rfam by way of RNAcentral. Lineage: Eukaryota; Metazoa; Chordata; Mammalia; Primates; Cercopithecidae.